UGGUGGAGGCCGGAUCCUGGGCUGUGUCCCAGCGCCCUGUGCUCCGGAGCCUGCGCUGGUGGAUUCGCGCUCCCGGGCCGCCGCCGCGCAGCCCCCU
This 97-nucleotide microRNA precursor is filed under the name Canis lupus familiaris (dog). RNAcentral's name for it is "mir-8799 microRNA precursor family". It matches the Rfam family "mir-8799 microRNA precursor family". The record is from Rfam by way of RNAcentral. Lineage: Eukaryota; Metazoa; Chordata; Mammalia; Carnivora; Canidae.